Molecule: long non-coding RNA, 837 nt
Organism: Brienomyrus brachyistius
Lineage: Eukaryota; Metazoa; Chordata; Actinopteri; Osteoglossiformes; Mormyridae
Exons: 3
Source: RefSeq, a predicted model, not a curated record
UUAAAUUCUUUUAAAUUCUUUUUUCUUUGUUCAUACGAGGAACGGUUACUUGAGCUAAAUCUGUUCAGUCUCAAGCAAAGGAGACUGAGGGGGGACAUGAUCCAGAAUAGAAACCCACAAAUGCAGCUCCCUCCACCAGCAACGCCAACCAGCUUAAGCGCUUCUAUGCUGAGUUUGAUAUGGACAAUAAAGAAACUGCCACAAAAUCCAUGCCCCCUGAUGACCAGCCCCUUAUAAUUCCACCACCGUUGUGGGGUCCGUACUACAAAGAGUCAACGCAAGGUAAGCUGCAAAGUGCAGACAAAUUUACAACCUACCCUACCAGGGGGUUCAUUUGAAGCUGGCACCCGGCGAUAUUUCGCCGCCUGUGGGUAAGUACAUAGCCGGCUACUUUCAGUUGUUGAAAAAAAAAAUCUGCCUCUGUUACCAGAAUCAAACGAUCAGCACUCGGUGCCACAAUAAAAGAUUUAUUUUUCAGAAAUUUCCGUGUUCUGUCUAGGCGCAGCCAUUAAUUCUUAUCUUCGUUUUGAUUGGCUAUUUUUGGCAAGUUUUUAUUCUGCGUUUUCUGAUUGGCUGAUUGAGGCAAGUGGACAAAAUGGCGUCUAGAAAGCGAAGCAGCCUUCUUGACCAGUGGCUGCAACCGAGCGCGAAAUUGCCCAGGACUGAAGGAACUGAAGAUCCCACACAUCUCCAGCCCGCUGUUCCUGGGAAAAGCCACCUGCCAAUUAUCCUUGGAGCAGCAGCCAUUCUCAGGAUCUCCUACAUCACAGAUCACCUAAUAAUCACAGGACCUGUCGACGACUGGAGAAAAGGAGAAACACUGAAGUACAAUGGGCA